RNAcentral lists this non-coding RNA (24 nucleotides) under Arabidopsis thaliana (thale cress). Lineage: Eukaryota; Viridiplantae; Streptophyta; Magnoliopsida; Brassicales; Brassicaceae. The record is from RNAcentral.
GUUGAAUGGUGAAAGCGGAUCAAU